GAUGAACGCUAGCUACAGGCUUAACACAUGCAAGUCGAGGGGCAGCAUGACCUAGCAAUAGGUUGAUGGCGACCGGCGCACGGGUGAGUAACACGUAUCCAACCUGCCGAUUAUUCCGGGAUAGCCUUUCGAAAGAAAGAUUAAUACUGGAUAGCGUAACGAGAAGGCAUCUUCUUGUUAUUAAAGAAUUUCGAUAAUCGAUGGGGAUGCGUUCCAUUAGUUUGUUGGCGGGAUAACGGCCCACCAAGACAUCGAUGGAUAGGGGUUCUGAGAGGAAGGUCCCCCACAUUGGAACUGAGACACGGUCCAAACUCCUACGGGAGGCAGCAGUGAGGAAUAUUGGUCAAUGGACGAGAGUCUGAACCAGCCAAGUAGCGUGAAGGAUGACUGCCCUAUGGGUGGUAAACUUCUUUUAUAUGGGAAUAAAGUGGGCCACGUGUGGCUUUUUGUAUGUACCAUACGAAUAAGGAUCGGCUAACUCCGUG
Molecule: ribosomal RNA, 485 nt
Filed under: uncultured bacterium
Lineage: Bacteria
Description: partial 16S ribosomal RNA
Rfam family: Bacterial small subunit ribosomal RNA
Source: RNAcentral